Molecule: ribosomal RNA, 311 nt
Filed under: Limnonectes asperatus
Lineage: Eukaryota; Metazoa; Chordata; Amphibia; Anura; Dicroglossidae
Description: partial 12S ribosomal RNA
Rfam family: Bacterial small subunit ribosomal RNA
Source: RNAcentral
UUAAGAACGCCAGGGUAUUACGAGCCUUAGCUUAAAACCCAAAGGACUUGACGGUGUCCCAUCCAACUAGAGGAGCCUGUUCUAUAAUCGAUAAUCCCCGCUAUACCUAACCCCAUCUUGCAAUCAGCCUGUAUACCUCCGUCGCAAGCUUACCAUAUGAAUGUCAACAGUAAGUCUAAUGGUCACACACCAACACGUCAGGUCAAGGUGCAGCUUAUGAUGGGGCAAGCAAUGGGCUACAAUUUCUAACAUAGAAUAUACGAAAUGCUGCAUGAAACCCAGCCAUGAAGGCGGAUUUAGUAGUAAAAAUG